This 306-nucleotide unclassified non-coding RNA is filed under the name plant metagenome. RNAcentral describes it as "partial contains 5.8S ribosomal RNA, internal transcribed spacer 2, and large subunit ribosomal RNA". The stretch from base 1 to 105 matches the Rfam family "5.8S ribosomal RNA", at positions 50 to 154 of the family's 154-position model. The record is from RNAcentral.
AAAAUGCGAUAAGUAGUGUGAAUUGCAGAAUUCAGUGAAUCAUCGAAUCUUUGAACGCACAUUGCGCCCCUUGGUAUUCCAUGGGGCAUGCCUGUUCGAGCGUCAUCUACACCCUCAAGCUCUGCUUGGUGUUGGGCGUCUUUGUCCCGCCUCCGCGCGCGGACUCGCCCCAAAUUCAUUGGCAGCGGUCCUUGCCUCCUCUCGCGCAGCACAUUGCGCUUCUCGAGGUGUUGCGGCCCGCGUCCAGAAAGCAAUCGUUACCGUCUUUGACCUCGGAUCAGGUAGGGAUACCCGCUGAACUUAAGC